RNAcentral lists this ribosomal RNA (386 nucleotides) under uncultured bacterium. Its description in RNAcentral is "bacterial SSU rRNA". It matches the Rfam family "Bacterial small subunit ribosomal RNA", at positions 30 to 416 of the family's 1533-position model. The record is from RNAcentral.
AUUGAACGCUGGCGGCAUGCCUUACACAUGCAAGUCAAACGGCAGCACGGGAGCAAUCCUGGUGGCGAGUGGCGAACGGGUGAGUAAUAUAUCGGAACGUGCCCAGUCGUGGGGGAUAACGUAGCGAAAGCUACGCUAAUACCGCAUACGAUCUAUGGAUGAAAGCGGGGGAUCGCAAGACCUCGCGCGAUUGGAGCGGCCGAUAUCAGAUUAGGUAGUUGGUGGGGUAAAAGCCUACCAAGCCUUCGAUCUGUAGCUGGUCUGAGAGGACGACCAGCCACACUGGAACUGAGACACGGUCCAGACUCCUACGGGAGGCAGCAGUGGGGAAUUUUGGACAAUGGGCGCAAGCCUGAUCCAGCAAUGCCGCGUGCAGGAUGAAGGCC